RNAcentral lists this ribosomal RNA (114 nucleotides) under uncultured bacterium. Its description in RNAcentral is "partial 16S ribosomal RNA". It matches the Rfam family "Bacterial small subunit ribosomal RNA", at positions 1369 to 1482 of the family's 1533-position model. The record is from RNAcentral.
CGUUCCCGGGCCUUGUACACACCGCCCGUCACACCAUGGGAGUUGUUUACCUGAAGACGGUGUUCUAACCCGCAAGGGAGGAAGCCGGCCACGGUAAGGUCAGCGACUGGGGUG